This 253-nucleotide ribosomal RNA is filed under the name uncultured bacterium. RNAcentral describes it as "partial 16S ribosomal RNA". It matches the Rfam family "Bacterial small subunit ribosomal RNA", at positions 524 to 776 of the family's 1533-position model. The record is from RNAcentral.
UACGUAGGGUGCAAGCGUUAAUCGGAAUUACUGGGCGUAAAGCGUGCGCAGGCGGCUUUGCAAGACAGAUGUGAAAUCCCCGGGCUCAACCUGGGAACUGCAUUUGUGACUGCAAGGCUAGAGUACGGCAGAGGGGGAUGGAAUUCCGCGUGUAGCAGUGAAAUGCGUAGAUAUGCGGAGGAACACCAAUGGCGAAGGCAAUCCCCUGGGCCUGUACUAACGCUCAUGCACGAAAGCGUGGGGAGCAAACAGG